Molecule: ribosomal RNA, 403 nt
Filed under: bacterium enrichment culture clone ALO1_GLFRUDD03GI0ZM
Lineage: Bacteria
Description: bacterial SSU rRNA
Rfam family: Bacterial small subunit ribosomal RNA
Source: RNAcentral
GAGUUUUAUCGUGGCUCAGAUUGAACGCUGGCGGCAUGCCUUACACAUGCAAGUCGAACGGCAGCACGGGAGCUUGCUCCUGGUGGCGAGUGGCGAACGGGUGAGUAAUGCAUCGGAACGUAUCCUGGAGUGGGGGAUAACGUAGCGAAAGUUACGCUAAUACCGCAUAUUCUGUGAGCAGGAAAGCGGGGGACCUUCGGGCCUCGCGCUCUUGGAGCGGCCGAUGUCGGAUUAGCUAGUUGGUGAGGUAAAGGCUCACCAAGGCGACGAUCCGUAGCAGGUCUGAGAGGAUGAUCUGCCACACUGGAACUGAGACACGGUCCAGACUCCUACGGGAGGCAGCAGUGGGGAAUUUUGGACAAUGGGGGCAACCCUGAUCCAGCCAUGCCGCGUGAGUGAAGAA